Molecule: long non-coding RNA, 1069 nt
Organism: Saccostrea cuccullata (small rock oyster)
Lineage: Eukaryota; Metazoa; Mollusca; Bivalvia; Ostreida; Ostreidae
Exons: 3
Source: RefSeq, a predicted model, not a curated record
UGUACAACAAAUCUAGCGUAUUACAAUAUUGAUAUUCAUCCAGGAUAAUAAAAUUAUAAUCAUAAGAUUAUGUUCUUCUAGAAACGUUCACAUCAUUCUGCCCAUUAUUUUGUUCCUGAUAAGUUUUGGAAUUGUAGUGUUGACAUUUUACCAGAAGCCCAAGGAAAGUUUCAUGGCACUAGGAUUGGUUGCAGCUGGGAUUUUCUUGUAUAUAAUUGGAACUUGGAAACACAAACCAAAGGAAAUUGCAGACAAACUCCAUUCCCUUAAUAUCUUCAUCCAGAAGAUGCUUCUUGUAAUGCCACCAGACAACUCGGAUGAAAUCGAUUGGGAAUAACAACUUCCUUAUAAAGAGAAGAAUAAAUACAGAAACAAUGACCAAAGUUGAAGAAUAAAAGGAUAAUUUUUUUUUGAAAAGUUUAACAGCACAUAAGAUUAUUUAAAAAGUAUUAAGGAAAUACUCCACAUGAGUUUGAUCUGAUAAGAAAGGCAUUUAUUUUUGUGUGUUUUUAACUUUUAUGCUUUGUGUGCAGAUGUUUUUAAUUUAUAUUUAUAUUAUCACUGCAUAAAAAUUUUGUAAUUUAUUGUCAUGAAAUUAUGUUGGUUUUUUAACUUCAAGGCUCUAUUAGGAUAUGUACUUGUUUUUGUCACCCGAGUCAAUCAGUGAGCUAUUGCUCUCUGUUGUAGUGUCCAUCAGUCAUUAUCUUGUACAUUUUCAGCUCUCUCUGAAACAGCCGAAAAAAGGCACAUAGAUGUAUAAGUGGUAUCUAUUAGUAAUAAAGGAGAAAGUUUUAUUGCAGGUAUAUUGCAUAUAUUUGCCCCCCACAAAUGUCAAAUUUUGAAAACUUCCUGAAAUGUGCUGAAUUCAAUAAAUUGUAUGAGAAAUAUAAAUUAACAGAACAUAUUAUUGUUUCAAAGUAGUUUAUUCACAAUUUUUGUUUUUAUGACGUCACAACAGUUUAAAAUAGGAUUUUAUAUCCUUUUUCAGAAAGAGGACAAAAUGGACAAAAUUUCAACAAUUUUAGCUUUAAAAUUUAUAGAGCGCAAGUUUGUUCAAGAACAAUAUUUA